UACNGAUACUCUUUGAAAAGGCCCCAAUAUNUUNGGGGNAACCGNCCCAAGGGUGCGUAACGCGUGAGCAACAUGCCCGUAUCAGGGUUUAUAAUCCAGGGAAACUUGGUCUAAUACCCCAUAGUAAAUUUUGUAGGCAUCUAUAAAAUUUUAAAGCUUUGGUGGAUACGGAUUGGCUCGCGUGACAUUAGCUAGAUGGUAAGGUAACGGCUUACCAUGGCUACGAUGUCUAGGGGUUCUGAGAGGAAGAUCCCCCACACUGGAACUGAGACACGGUCCAGACUCCUACGGGAGGCAGCAGUGAGGAAUAUUGGACAAUGGAUGGAAAUCUGAUCCAGCCAUGCCGCGUGCAGGAAGACGGCCCUAUGGGUUGUAAACUGCUUUUAUAUGGGAGCAAUAAGGCCUACGAGUAGGUCGAUGAGAGUACCAUAUGAAUAAGCACCGGCUAACUCCGUGCCAGCAGCCGCGGCAAUACGGAGGGUGCAAGCGUUAUCCGGAUUUAUUGGGUUUAAAGGGUGCGUANGCGGUUUGAUAAGUCAGCCGGUGAAAUAUUUCAGCUUAACUGGAAAGGGUGCCGUUGAUACUGUCAGGCUUGAAUUUAAUUGCUGUGGGUGGAAUGUGUGGUGUANCGGUGAAAUGCAUAGAUNUCCCACCAGAAUAUUCGAUUGCGAAGGC
Molecule: ribosomal RNA, 675 nt
Filed under: uncultured bacterium
Lineage: Bacteria
Description: bacterial SSU rRNA
Rfam family: Bacterial small subunit ribosomal RNA
Source: RNAcentral